GGGUUGUGCUGGCCUUUAGGGCAUGUGCACGCUUCUGCUCUAUUCUCCUUCAACCACUGUGCACCCUUUGUAGGCUGGAGAAAUCUGGUCUAUGUUUUUUAUACACACCUAAACAAGUAUUAGAAUGUCAUACUUUUAAGUACACUCGCGAGGGUGGA
Molecule: unclassified non-coding RNA, 158 nt
Filed under: uncultured fungus
Lineage: Eukaryota; Fungi
Description: sequence contains ITS1, ITS2
Source: RNAcentral